UGGGACAACAUCCCUAAUGCGCCUUGAAAUGAGGAACUCAAAAGUCACGUGUAAAGAAAAAAUCUCUGUGUAGUGAUAUUGGACAUAUUUCUAUUUUUAGCAAAUGACUGAACUUAAUUAUUUGUGGUGAUUAGGAAAGUAGAGGAACAUAGAAUAAAUGUGUAAAAACUAUGGAGCUAUUGAAUGUGUUCAAAGUAUUAAAUUUUCAAAGAACUUCG
Molecule: long non-coding RNA, 218 nt
Filed under: Mytilus galloprovincialis (Mediterranean mussel)
Lineage: Eukaryota; Metazoa; Mollusca; Bivalvia; Mytilida; Mytilidae
Source: RNAcentral